Molecule: ribosomal RNA, 301 nt
Filed under: uncultured bacterium
Lineage: Bacteria
Description: partial 16S ribosomal RNA
Rfam family: Bacterial small subunit ribosomal RNA
Source: RNAcentral
CAGCCGCCGCGGUAAUACGAAGGGUGCAAGCGUUAAUCGGAAUUACUGGGCGUAAAGCGUGCGUAGGCGGUGAGUUAAGACUGCCGUGAAAUCCCCGGGCUCAACCUGGGAAUGGCAGUGGAUACUGGCUCGCUAGAGUGUGUCAGAGGAUGGUGGAAUUCCCGGUGUAGCGGUGAAAUGCGUAGAGAUCGGGAGGAACAUCAGUGGCGAAGGCGGCCAUCUGGGACAACACUGACGCUGAGGCACGAAAGCGUGGGGAGCAAACAGGAUUAGAUACCCGCGUAGUCCCUGUCUCUUAUAA